Molecule: ribosomal RNA, 505 nt
Filed under: uncultured soil bacterium
Lineage: Bacteria
Description: bacterial SSU rRNA
Rfam family: Bacterial small subunit ribosomal RNA
Source: RNAcentral
AGAGUGAACGCUGGCGGUAGGCCUAACACAUGCAAGUCGAACGGCAGCACAGUGGUAGCAAUACCAUGGGUGGCGAGUGGCGGACGGGUGAGGAAUACAUCGGAAUCUACCUUUUCGUGGGGGAUAACGUAGGGAAACUUACGCUAAUACCGCAUACGCCCUUCGGGGGAAAGCCGGGGAUCGCAAGACCUGGCGCGGAUAGAUGAGCCGAUGUCGGAUUAGCUAGUUGGUGAGGUAAUGGCUCACCAAGGCGACGAUCCGUAGCUGGUCUGAGAGGAUGAUCAGCCACACUGGAACUGAGACACGGUCCAGACUCCUACGGGAGGCAGCAGUGGGGAAUAUUGGACAAUGGGCGCAAGCCUGAUCCAGCCAUACCGCGUGGGUGAAGAAGGCCUUCGGUGUAAAGCCCUUUUGUGGAAAGAAAGCAAUCGGUUAAUACCCGGUUGUUCUGACGGUACCCAAAGAUAACGCAACCGCUAACUUCGUGCCAGCAGCCGCGGUAAUC